This is a long non-coding RNA of Oncorhynchus masou masou (cherry salmon), 1257 nucleotides long. RefSeq lists it as uncharacterized. The transcript has 3 exons. NCBI's taxonomy places the organism in Eukaryota, Metazoa, Chordata, Actinopteri, Salmoniformes, Salmonidae. The record is from RefSeq and is a predicted model, not a curated record.
AGAGAGAGAGAAGUAAAGUUCAGGACUGCGGGUUAAUGAAAGCACAGAGAAAAGCAGACACCACACAGCCCAGGGAGAAAGGAGGAGAAAGGAGGAGAAAGGAGGAGAAAGGAGGAGAGGAGACUGUCUGGGAUGGUUAAUUGGCACCUUAUAUGACCCGCCAGGAAUCAAACCCGUGUGGUUUGUGUGUCUUCAGACUGUGUUAGCCCGCUGAACUGAAGCCUGAUUGUCAGCUGUAAUAUAUGACGUGGGACUUCAGACAUGGUAGCAGCAACGCUGCAAAGGGCACAUUCACCAUGUGUCAGUGUCAACAAACUAACUAAGCCAGAAAACGUGAGCCUCUCUGUCAGACGUGUGACUGAGAGAAGCCAGCAGGCCAGCCUCAACAGAAGGAGGAGGAAUGCUACAGACAGAGACCCCGGGCAGAGACACCAGGCAGAGGAAAGGAGAGGAGGAUGAAUGCUACAGACAGAGACCCCGGGCAGAGGAAAGGAGAGGAGGAGGAAUGCUACAGACAGAGACCCCGGGCAGAGACACCAGGCAGAGGAAAGGAGAGGAGGAUGAAUGCUACAGACAGAGACCCCGGGCAGAGGAAAGGAGAGGAGGAGGAAUGCUACAGACAGAGACCCCGGGCAGAGGAAAGGAGAGGAGGAGGAAUGCUACAGACAGAGACCCGGGCAGAGACACCAGGCAGAGGAAAGGAGAGGAGGAUGAAUGCUACAGACAGAGACCCCGGGCAGAGGAAAGGAGAGGAGGAGGAAUGCUACAGACAGAGACCCGGGCAGAGACACCAGGCAGAGGAAAGGAGAGGAGGAUGAAUGCUACAGACAGAGACCCCGGGCAGAGGAAAGGAGAGGAGGAGGAAUGCUACAGACAGAGACCCGGGCAGAGACACCAGGCAGAGGAAAGGAGAGGAGGAUGAAUGCUACAGACAGAGACCCCGGGCAGAGGAAAGGAGAGGAGGAGGAAUGCUACAGACAGAGACCCGGGCAGAGACACCAGGCAGAGGAAAGGAGAGGAGGAUGAAUGCUACAGACAGAGACCCCGGGCAGAGGAAAGGAGAGGAGGAGGAAUGCUACAGACAGAGACCCGGGCAGAGACACCAGGCAGAGGAAAGGAGAGGAGGAUGAAUGCUACAGACAGAGACCCCGGGCAGAGGAAAGGAGAGGAGGAGGAAUGCUACAGACAGAGACCCGGGCAGAGACACCAGGCAGAGGAAAGGAGAGGAGGAUGAAUGCUACAGACAGAGACACCAGG